AGCCGAGCCGCCGUCCCUGAGCAGGGUGGCGGCGUCCGCCCGCCCCGGGGGUGCCCGGCGGGGCGGGAGGCAGGCAGCCCGAGCCGCGGCGGGACGCGCGGGCAGCGCCGGGGAGGACGCGUCGCUCCUUCCGGAGCGGGCUGCUGCCUGCCCGCGGCGGCGGGAGGAGGGCCGCGAAAUGGCUGCCGGGAAGGGCGGCGGCGGCGGCGGGGCUGGGGCGGCGGAGUUGAUGGCUCGGCUUCGGCUUUGCGCGUGCAGCAGCAGCGGGGAGCCGAGAGCAGCGCUGCGGGCGUAAAGUCUGAGCAUUUCUCAGCUGAAGACCCCUUUGCUGAAAAUAAUAGAAAGGCUGUGUGCCCUGGAAUCUGCUGAGCACGUGACAGAAGAAAGAUGUAUCCCAAAGACAGGAACAGAAACAUGUCACCCAGUCAGCUCCUGAUGCUGUCAGUGGAAGAUGAACAAGGGGAUUAGAUGACUUCCGAAAUUGUCCUUCUGCUGUAAAGAAACACUUGAUGCUAUAAGCCAAAUGGAGAAUACAAGUUUGACUGAAGUGAGCAGGAGAUGAUUAUGUUAUUGUAUUUUAUGAAAUAACAAGGUCUGUGAAACAUGCCAUACUACUUAUUUCUCCUGUUUGUUAACCUACAAAGAUGGCCCUCUAUGCUUUUCCCCAAAAUAAGCUUUGAACAUGAUCUGUUCUUACAGUUUUAACAGUAGCUUUUGCACAACUCAGUGAGUCAAAAAUAGGACUUUCCUUAAUAAUCCAAAGGUUGUUUGCUCACAACACUAACAAUGGGAAUGUAUGAAGAACCAAACAGCCCCAAAGCUACAAAAGGGAAAUGCUAGAAGCAGCUCAAUUAAAAAUCAAGACCAUGCAAAAGAAAAAGAGCUCUCUCUCUCUCAGGAAUCCCAAAACAUCCUGGCAGGCAAUCUGAAGAAAGAAGAAUGAAAGACUCCAGUCAGUGAGUAGAUCCAGACUGAGUAGAACCGACACAAUUACUAGUUAUGGCCUUGCUAUCUAACUGCCUAAUUCCAGUAAUGAUCAUGAGGGAUAAAAGUCUCACCAAAUGGAGCAAGGGGUUGAGUGUUUUCUUCCUGUUUUUAUCUGCUGGGGGCAGCACAGCAGAUUCUGGAAACAGUGCUAUGACUAGUUUCCUCAAAAUAAGCCUAAGUUUACCAUCCAUACCUAUGAUGCACUUAAAGAGCUGUUUUUCAGAAAUUGUUUUGUGUCUUGGUAAACUCUAUAUUGUUGCAUUAUGAGACGGGGCAAAGAAAGUAAGAUUUAUCUGAACUUCUGCUCAUCACUUAUCAGCAAUGAAAUUUACAAAAGUAAUAAACUAUAGAGAAAUCACAUCUUUAUUCUAGCCAAUGCAGCCCUAGUUGUUAUCGUAGGAUGUCCUUCUAGAUCUGGAUGGGACAUUUGUGUCUCUAGAUGAGAGACAUUCAUGUCCUUCUUAAGUUAGGCCAGUGACCAUAGUUGGGGGACUUGUCUAACCUGAAACACUCAAGAAAAUUAAUCUGAGUUAAUUAAAAAAUAUAAAUCAAAAAUGAACUA
Dromaius novaehollandiae (emu) is the source of this 1549-nucleotide long non-coding RNA. RefSeq lists it as uncharacterized. Lineage: Eukaryota; Metazoa; Chordata; Aves; Casuariiformes; Dromaiidae. The transcript has 4 exons. The record is from RefSeq and is a predicted model, not a curated record.